CCUACGGGAGGCAGCAGUGAGGAAUAUUGGUCAAUGGCCGAGAGGCUGAACCAGCCAAGUCGCGUGAGGGAAGACGGCCCUACGGGUUGUAAACCUCUUUUGUCGGGGAGCAAAGCGAGUCACGUGUGACUCAUUGAGAGUACCCGAAGAAAAAGCAUCGGCUAACUCCGUGCCAGCAGCCGCGGUAAUACGGAGGAUGCGAGCGUUAUCCGGAUUUAUUGGGUUUAAAGGGUGCGCAGGCGGAGGUGCAAGUCAGCGGUCAAAUUGCGGGGCUCAACCCCGUACUGCCGUUGAAACUGCAUCCCUUGAGUGCGCGAGAAGUAUGCGGAAUGCGUGGUGUAGCGGUGAAAUGCUUAGAUAUCACACAGAACACCGAUUGCGAAGGCAGCUUUCCAAGCUAUUACUGACGCUGAGGCACGAAAGCGUGGGGAGCGAACAGGAUUAGAUACCCGAGUAGUC
This 459-nucleotide ribosomal RNA is filed under the name uncultured bacterium. RNAcentral's name for it is "partial 16S ribosomal RNA". It matches the Rfam family "Bacterial small subunit ribosomal RNA", at positions 338 to 795 of the family's 1533-position model. The record is from RNAcentral.